UGAGGAAUAUUGGUCAAUGGGCGGGAGCCUGAACCAGCCAAGUCGCGUGAGGGAAGACGGUCUUACGGAUUGUAAACCUCUUUUGCCGGGGAGCAAAGGGCGCCACGCGUGGCGUUUCGAGAGUACCCGGAGAAAAAGCAUCGGCUAACUCCGUGCC
RNAcentral lists this ribosomal RNA (157 nucleotides) under uncultured bacterium. RNAcentral's name for it is "partial 16S ribosomal RNA". It matches the Rfam family "Bacterial small subunit ribosomal RNA", at positions 355 to 509 of the family's 1533-position model. The record is from RNAcentral.